RNAcentral lists this ribosomal RNA (1377 nucleotides) under metagenome. Its description in RNAcentral is "bacterial LSU rRNA". It matches the Rfam family "Bacterial large subunit ribosomal RNA", at positions 1564 to 2925 of the family's 2925-position model. The record is from RNAcentral.
CCAUACCGAGCCGCUUCAGGCGAAGUCAUUGAUCCUAUGCUGCCUAGAAAAGCCCAGCAGCGAGUUGACAUGGUGCCCGUACCCCAAACCAACACAGGUGGACAGGUAGAGCAUACCAAGGCGAGUGGGAUAACUAUGGUUAAGGAACUCGGCAAAUUGCCUUCGUAACUUCGGGAGAAGGAGGACCCCAGUAGCGUGAUGAGACUUGCUCUCUGAGCGUGAAGGGGUGGCACAAAAUUGAGGGAAGCGACUGUUUACCAAAAACACAGCAGCGUGCUAAGCCGUAAGGCGCUGUAUACGCUGUGACUCCUGCCCGGUGCUGGAAGGUUACGGGGAUGGGUUAGUCCUUCGGGACGAAGCUCUGAACCUAAGCCCCAGUAAACGGCGGCCGUAACUAUAACGGUCCUAAGGUAGCGAAAUUCCUUGUCGGGUAAGUUCCGACCUGCACGAAUGGAGUAACGACUUCCCUACUGUCUCAACCAUAGACCCAGCGAAAUUGAAGUACGAGUAAAGAUGCUCGUUAGCUGCAGAAGGACGGAAAGACCCCGUGGACCUUUACUAUAACUUGAUGUUGUGUUUUGUCAUAUGUUGUGUAGGAUAGGUGGGAGACUUGGAAGCAUGGACGCUAGUCUGUGUGGAGUCAUCGUUGAAAUACCACCCUGCAUAUGGUGAGGCUCUAACCUAGACCCGUUAUCCGGGUUGGGGACAGCGUCAGGCGGGUAGUUUAACUGGGGCGGUUGCCUCCUAAAGAGUAACGGAGGCGCCCAAAGGUUCCCUCAGCCUGGUUGGCAAUCAGGCGUUGAGUGCAAUGGCAAAAGGGAGCUUGACUGCGAGACCUACAAGUCGAGCAGGAGCGAAAGCUGGGCAUAGUGAUCCGGCGGUUGCGUGUGGAAGCGCCGUCGCUCAACGGAUAAAAGGUACCCCGGGGAUAACAGGCUAAUCUUGCCCAAGCGUCCAUAGCGACGGCAAGGUUUGGCACCUCGAUGUCGGCUCAUCGCAUCCUGGGGCUGAAGCAGGUCCCAAGGGUUGGGCUGUUCGCCCAUUAAAGCGGUACGCGAGCUGGGUUCAGAACGUCGUGAGACAGUUCGGUCCCUAUCCUCUGCAGCCGGGGGUGAAUUGAGGAAAGCUGUCCCUAGUACGAGAGGACCGGGACGGACGCAGCUCUCGUGUGCCAGUUGUCCUGCCAAGGGCAUGGCUGGUUAGCGACCUGCGGAAAGGAUAACCGCUGAAAGCAUCUAAGCGGGAAGCCUCUUCCAAGAUGAAUUCACCCACAGGGUUAACCUGGUAAGGCCCGUGGUAGACCACCACGUUGAUAGGCCGGAAGUGUAAGCGUGGCAACACGUUCAGCUGACCGGUACUAAUCGGCCGAGGGCUUGA